This 45-nucleotide non-coding RNA is filed under the name Schistosoma mansoni. The record is from RNAcentral. Lineage: Eukaryota; Metazoa; Platyhelminthes; Trematoda; Strigeidida; Schistosomatidae.
AUCUAUCUAACGAGUCCCAAAUAGGACGAAACAAGACUCCUGGAU